GCAAAACGCGAAGAACCUUACCAAGUCUUGACAUAUCUCGCAAGGCCCUAGAGAUAGGGAGAUAGUUAUGGAGGAUACAGGUGGUGCAUGGUUGUCGUCAGCUCGUGUCGUGAGAUGUUGGGUUAAGUCCCGCAACGAGCGCAACCCCUGUCUUUAGUUACCAUCAUUCAGUUGGGGACUCUAGAGAGACUGCCGGUGAUAAACCGGAGGAAGGUAGGGAUGACGUCAAAUCAUCAUGCCCCUUAUGACUUGGGCAACACACGUACUACAAUGGCAAUUACAAAGGGAAGCGAAAGAGUGAUCUGGAGCGAAACUCAUAAAGGUUGUCUCAGUUCGGAUUGAAGUCUGCAACUCGACUUCAUGAAGUUGGAAUCGCUAGUAAUCGCGGAUCAGCAUGCCGCGGUGAAUACGUUCUCGGGUCUUGUACACACCG
Molecule: ribosomal RNA, 433 nt
Filed under: uncultured bacterium
Lineage: Bacteria
Description: bacterial SSU rRNA
Rfam family: Bacterial small subunit ribosomal RNA
Source: RNAcentral